RNAcentral lists this long non-coding RNA (6091 nucleotides) under Nicotiana tabacum (common tobacco). RNAcentral's name for it is "long non-coding RNA (NTAB_LNC016882)". Lineage: Eukaryota; Viridiplantae; Streptophyta; Magnoliopsida; Solanales; Solanaceae. The record is from RNAcentral.
UCUAAUUCAUGAUUAAUUACUUCGAGGUCUGACAGCUUUUCAGGAUCUGGGCAUGAAGCCGGCAGUCAUGUCAUGUUAUUGAAAUCUGCAAUUAACAGAACUAAAAAGAAAAAUAAGAAAAGUGACAAGACUAAGAAAAGAGAUAUUCCUGGACAAUGAAAUACUAAAUUCAUUUGAAUUUUUUUUUCAAUCAAUUUUUUUUGAAGAUAUAAGGGUUUACAUCGGAAAGUAAGACAAUAAAGUAAAAUAUCUGGAUCACACCCUAAGAUAAUCUGGACGCAAAAAGGAUAGCAAGAUUGGCUACCGAGACUCCCGUCUGAUGGGGAACUUUCAAGCUUGGCGACCGUAUUUCGGCUUUUCUUCUUUUUUGGCCAUGGCUGCAAUGGCCUUCAGUGUCGGAUCAAAUUCCUCAGCUUCACAAAUCAUUCCGACUAUUGGCCCGAUGUGGUGGGCAUGCAACAAAUUGUUCAUCACAUCAGGAGCUUCUUCAUCCCAAAAAAUAAUUCUUUCAGCUUCAAUCAAAUUUCAACUGCCCUUUUGAAGGCCCAACAGUCCUCUAUACUGUGUCCCACUAUCCAGAGUGGUAUUUACAUACAGCAUCAGCUCGGUGUGAGGGGGACUCAGAGUUUGGCCGGUUUGGGGCCACUGGCUGCAACAAAUUUAGCCUGAUUAGCUUUUGGAACAAGUUCGAAUACAAUUGACCAAUAGGGGAGAACUGAUUCUUUCUGAAAGACUCUCUUGGACGAGGAUUGUAUUGGGGAUCAUUUGGUUGAGGAUUAUAUGGAGCUUGGUAAGGAUGGACAUUUCUGGGAGGUGGAGCUCGAUUUUGUGGAUAAUGUUGUGGCCGCGGGUAAGGUUGCGCAUUCAUCACCGCAUAGGGAGGCGGUGCCACAACAUAAGCAUCAUCUUGAAGGGGAUAAUAGCGUGGUGGGACCAUAUAAGGCACAUAUGAUUGGAUGAAUGACCUGGUGGCCCCCCUCGAGCUUGAAACCAUCAUGUCUCCCUCUUCAACCCCAUUUCUGUUCAUCAAGCCCUCCAAACCAUUCUAAGCAGCCUGUGAUGUAGCCUUAAAGGCAGCAUGACUCAAGAUUCGCCCCGUUUUAAAAUCGUUUUCAACCAUUGCCCCAAUUUUGAUAGCCUCAGCAAACGACUUUCCCAUAGCAGACAUCGUGUUCUGGAAGUAGUCCGCCUCUUGGGCCUGUAGAAAGACCGUGACCAUUUAAAUUUAGUCCAUUGGAGGCUUUACCCUGGCAGCUUGCUCACGCCAUUUGACAGCAUAUUCGCGGAAGCUUUCCAUGAUUUUCUUUUUUCAAAUUGGACAAAGAGUUUCUGUCGGGAGAGAUGUCCAUAUUAUAUUGUAACUGGCGAACAAAAUCUCGAGCCAUAUCGUCCCACACAUGCCAAUGGGUAAUUUCAUGAUCUGUAUACCAUUCAGAAGCAAUUUUGGUGAGGCUUUCCCCAAAAUAGGCCAUUAGUAUCUCCUCUUUUCCAACAACACCCCUCAGCUGGUUACAAUAUCAUUUCAGAUGAGCGACUGGGUCUCCGUGCCCGUCGUACUUUUCAAAUUUUGGCAUCAUGAAGCCAGCUGGCAAGUGGACAUCGGGAAAUAUAUAAAGGUCAGAGUAUGAGACACUCUUUUGGCCACUCAGACCUUGCAUCUUUUUCAGGCUUUGUUCUAGGCUCUCCAUCUUCCGAGCCAUUUCCUUUUGCUUGGGAUUUUUAACAACUUUUCCUUGCUCCCCCGAGAGAUCAUAUUGCGGAGGUUGAGUGAAAGAGUACGGAGUCACAUAUGUUAUUUCUGGUUGAAGCUGCGGAUCCUGAAAGAUGAACGUUGGAGGUGGUGCCCUUGAAGCUGGUGCCUGGGUGAAAACCACAGAAGGCAUGCCAGGAUCAUUGGAGGGCAUUGGAGGGUGCCCGCAUGGGAUGAGCGGGUUAGGCAUAGGGGCGGUGGUAACCUCACCUGACCUGGGGAUCAACUUAGGGAACCCAGGGAUUGCACUUGGCGGUUCCCUACCAUUAGACCAGGCGUCCCACAUUUUCAAUAUGCGGAGACGCAACAUCCUAUUCUUUUCAGUAGCUGCUGAUUCUAGCUGCAGAAUAGCCGAUCCCGGGCUAUCCUCAGGACCGAUAAUUGGUAGAUUGCUUGCGGAGGCCAUCUGUGCCUUUGCAUCUUGUGAAAGAGGGGAGACUAGACUACCAACAAAAUCAACCACCUGAACAGAACCUAGCUAAUUUGCACAUCCAACAACCUUGUUAGUUUUGAGACAUUUAACAGAUAGAAAAUCGCAUAUUGGGAUGCAAUGCACCUAGACAGUUAAACGUUUCUACUAUGUGUUUGAACGAGUUGCAUGUUUCAUCCCGGCCUUAAUUAACCAUUUUCACUUUGUACCUCUUUUCUUCAUUUCUGCCUCUCUUUAAUCACUCUUGAUUUUUUCAUUUCGUUUUUUGCCGCUCUUUUAUUUUUGGCACUCUCUUUUUCUCUUUUUGUUUGUCACUUUUUAUUUCUUGUCGCUCCUUUUUUUCGCUCUUUUCUUUCUUUUUCACUCAAUCAAAUUUAUUUAUUUUCUCUCUUUUGUCAAAUUAUUUUUCACUCAGUUUUAAUUUAUAGCUAUGAUCGAAUCCGAUGGGGAUUACCUACGUAUCAUGGCGCCGCAUGAAUCAGAUCUUGCGUAAUUCAGGAAGAUUGGGAAUAGAGUAAAUAAACUAACUUUUUUUUUUUACUUUUUAUAAAACUCAGACCAUGAAAUCUUUAAGGCAAAAGAAAAAUAUUUUUGAUUUUUUGAUUUUUUUUCUUAUUUCUUUUGGAAUUUUUCUUAAAAAAUGAUUUAAAAGAAGAAAGGAAACAUUUUUUUUGGGAUUUUUUAUUUUGAUUUUUCUUUUAUUUUUGAAAGAAAGACUUCUAAAAAUUUCUUUUCUUUUGAUUGGAACUUUGGGAUUUUUAAAAGUAAAAAAAAAAUAUUUUUGUUUGAAUUUUCAUUUGUUUUCUCUUUUUCUAAAGAAGAAAGAAAAUAUUUUUGUUUUGGAUUUUGGAUGUUGCCUCUUAAUUUUCGAAAGAAGGACUUUUAAGAAAGUUUUUUGAAUUUUUGAGUUUUUAUUUAUUUACAAAAAAGUACUUCUAAAGAAAAGUAAAAUAUUUUUGGACCUCAAUUUUCAAUUUUUUUUGACAUUUCCGAAAGAAAUACUUUUAAAGAAGGAAAAGAAUUUUUUUUGGAUUUAUUUUUAAUUUUUUUGGAAAAAUACUUCAAAACAAAGAAAACCCGUAUGAAAUACUCCAGAAAGAAGGAAACUACUUUUUUUGAGUUUUUUUAAAACUUCCCUCUUUUUUUGUUUUGAAUUUUCUAACGAAAGAUUUCUAAAGGAAAAUAUUUUUGGAUUUUUGAAAAUUGGGUCAGAACAGAUGAGGUUUGCCUACGUAUCUCACAUCCGGUGAGAAUCAGACCCGCGUAGUUCGGUCAGUUUUGACGGAACAGGGGAAACAUGGCCCUUGAAAUUUUUUGCUUAUUUUGAAAUGACUUUUCUUUUUUUAGAAUUCCGGUAGAGUUUCAGAAUUUUCUAAAUACCUAUCUCUCACUUUUUUUUGAUUUUCUUUUUUAUUUUAUUUUUAUUUUCUUUCCCUAUUCUAGAAGCCGGUUAAUAUGCAAGCCGAAACAAACAGAUGCGCAAGUAGCACGUAAGAUGCAUCAGGAUGGUCUUUUAAAUUUGGGUACACCUCAUGUCCUAGACGGACCCAGCCCUUGUGUUGAGUCCCCAAAGUCAGAUGCACGUGAUGCAAACAAACGUUCCUACUAGGGAUCCGACAUGAGGCUAUGUUAUACUAGGUUUAAAAACCUGGGUGUAUUGCUCUAGACCUGGCUUACCCGAACGGAUAGCUCGAGCCCGGGGGGGGGGGGGGGCAGCGUAUCGGGAAUACAGAAGCUUCACCGGCUUUGCAACUUGUCCGAACCGAACCUCGUUCUAAAAUUGGGAUAUCAUUCUAACAUAAAAGAAGUUACACGAAGUGCACACUUCACAGAUGAUUUAGAAAACUCAGAGAGAGGAGGGUUUCAUAGCAAUUUAUAUACAGUCCAAACAAUAUCAAAGCGGUAAAAAAUGGCAAUUAGCACAUUAGGCUCAACAUGUAAAAAUCAGAUAAAAACAAGCCAACUAUAACAGUUAUUCUAAGCUCGAAUUCUUGAACCCUGAACCAAAGUUCUGGGUUUUGUUCCCCAGCAGAGUCGGCAGAGUUGUCACACCCCCUUUUUACCACCCGAGAGGAAAUAUAAGGAAGUUUUUUCAAUUAAAGUGACAUUAUUCGAAAUGAGAUUAUUUUAUUUAUUUUCAGAGUCGCCACUUGGGAUAUUUAUGAUGGUGUCCCAAGUUACUGGUUUAUUUUAAAUCCCAAAUAGAGGAAAAUCGACUUUAUUUAAAAAUCUGCGAAACCAGAAAUUCAUAAUAAGGAAUUUUGUUAACCCGGGAGAAGGUGUUAGGCAUUCCCAGGUUCCGUGGUUCGAGCACGGUCGCUUAAACUAUUAAAAUUGACCUAAUUAACUUAUUUAAUACAUGUUUUAAACCUAGUGUGCUUUUUAAAACUUUAUAACCGCUUUUAAUUAUUUUAAAACCGCUUUUUAGGAUUUAUGGAAUUAUUUCUGGAACAAUUUACGAUUGUCAUACACUUGCCAUUUUUGAACACACCGCAAGCCACGCUACAUGAAAUGCACCCGUGAUUCGCGACAUGUAUAUUUUAUUAUUGUUUGAAGUUGUUAUGAUCGGGUCACAUGAAAUGCACACCCGAAUUUUGGAAUUAGGCAUCGUAACUACGUCACGGGAACCGUACCCAUAUCACGAGGGUUUAUUUAUUAAUCGCGCCUAAAGCAUGCUAUGGAUAUUCAUUUAUUACUUUCCUAAAGUUAAUUUGGGAUUGUUAUGAAGGCCAUGGUUUAUGGAAGUAAAAUGGUAAGGAUAAAAUUGUUACUAAAUUAUUAACAUCGUUCAUUACUACUAAAUUAUAGGAGGUGAAUAUCACAUAUUAAAUUAUCAACUUUCUAACAUAAUCAAACCAAAGAAGUUAAUCUUCUAAAUAAAGAGGACGGCUGAAAAAGUCAUAAUCACAUGUCAAUACCAUAUGAAAAUUAAAGAGAUUCCCUAUAGCUUUGCUUUUCCAAGCUUUCACAAAAUAAACUAGUGAUAAAUAUAAUAUUUAACUCCAUGAUACAUGCUCAAAAUGGAAAGACAUGGACAGAAACUCCAAAUAUUGAAGCAAAUUUUCAGAAUAUAAAUUUAGCGAAUUAAGAUGACAAACAAAGGCAUGCUAACACAGGAUAUUAAUAAAGUGACGGAACUUUUACUUAAAUCAACAGGAACAAAAUGAACAAUUAAUUAAAGGGGAAGGAGACCUUAUGUGUAUUGAUCUGAAACUCCAAAUGUAUACAUCAAAGUCGGAUUCUGAUUGUCAAACUCGACCGGAGAAAGUAAAUAGCAGCAAAAUCUUGGACCGGAGCUUUCGAAAGCGACCCGAAGGGUGCCUUCAAACAAGGAGCCCAAACUCGCUGGUAGCCUCGAAUCGGCACCGAAAAAUUUGAACCAAACAUGGAUUCAAUCAAAUUCGAAAUUUUAGCUAAACCGAAGAGAUAAAUGGCACUGAUUUUCUAGCUUUGUUUUUUCCUUCACCAUUUUUAACCUCUAUUUUGUAAUUGGAGUGAGGCUGUUUUUUUUGUAUUUAUUUUAUUUUUUCUUCUGAAAGGAAAUAAAAAGGGAUGAUGGUGGAUUUUGGGGAAUUUUAGGGAAUUAGGGGUGAGGCUGCUGCUCUUUGGAAUUGGGUGUAUAAGUAUGUGCGUAUUGUUUGGAUGGAGGAUUGGUUGGUCAAGUCUUGAAUGAGAAUUUUGUUGGAUUUUGGAAUGUUUGUUGGGAUUUUUCGGCUGAGUCUUUCUUUUAGUUCAAAUAGAUGAUCAUCAUCUCUUAAGGAGUGCUGCCAGAGAUGGAAAGCUCAUCCCUUUCUCCAAGAAGGCAGCGGUUGUAGCUUAAUCGUGAAGUUUAGGGGGCGCCGUUUUCAGCUUUUUUUUUGGCGAAGGGGAAGGUAUCUCAUGAUGUGAUAAGGUGUUAGGUCUCCUUUUAC